UGACGCCAAGAAAUUAUACAUUGAGUUUAAAUAAUAUGUCAACCACACACUAAAGCCUGUAGCGAACGCUGGUACCAUUGGAAACACAGUGCGCAUUCUCACAUUCGGCGGACGGAACGGGACGAACACUCUGGGAUUCACAUCACAAUAAGUCAUGCACGAG
Drosophila serrata is the source of this 163-nucleotide long non-coding RNA. The record is from RefSeq and is a predicted model, not a curated record. NCBI's taxonomy places the organism in Eukaryota, Metazoa, Arthropoda, Insecta, Diptera, Drosophilidae.